Molecule: ribosomal RNA, 468 nt
Filed under: uncultured bacterium
Lineage: Bacteria
Description: partial 16S ribosomal RNA
Rfam family: Bacterial small subunit ribosomal RNA
Source: RNAcentral
GACGAACGCUGGCGGCGUGCUUAACACAUGCAAGUCGAACGGAAAGGCCCUGCUUUUGUGGGGUGCUCGAGUGGCGGACGGGUGAGUAACACGUGAGUAACCUGCCCUUGACUUUGGGAUAACUUCAGGAAACUGGGGCUAAUACCGGAUAGGAGCUCCUGCUGCAUGGUGGGGGUUGGAAAGUUUCGGCGGUUGGGGAUGGACUCGCGGCUUAUCAGCUUGUUGGUGGGGUAGUGGCUUACCAAGGCUUUGACGGGUAGCCGGCCUGAGAGGGUGACCGGCCACAUUGGGACUGAGAUACGGCCCAGACUCCUACGGGAGGCAGCAGUGGGGAACAUUGCACAAUGGGCGGAAGCCUGAUGCAGCAACGCCGCGUGCGGGAUGACGGCCUUCGGGUUGUAAACCGCUUUCGCCUGUGACGAAGCGUGAGUGACGGUAAUGGGUAAAGAAGCACCGGCUAACUACGUG